Molecule: long non-coding RNA, 220 nt
Organism: Haliotis rubra (blacklip abalone)
Lineage: Eukaryota; Metazoa; Mollusca; Gastropoda; Lepetellida; Haliotidae
Exons: 2
Source: RefSeq, a predicted model, not a curated record
AUGUAGGUGUAACCAAUAUACGGUUGUAUUUCAUGUAAUUUAUUUAUACCGACUUGGGUGUCCAACUUCUUCUGCUUCAGAUAACGGAUGUACGCUCUAAUGCUAGCUUUGUAAUCAGAGUAUGGAAUAAGAAGUGGUGUCACAGAUUCGUUGAGCGCUGCCUUAGCAGCAAGAUCGGCCAUUGUAUUCCCAGAAAUGCCAACGUGGCUGGGUAACCAAC